This is a non-coding RNA of Podarcis lilfordi (Lilford's wall lizard), 2967 nucleotides long. NCBI's taxonomy places the organism in Eukaryota, Metazoa, Chordata, Lepidosauria, Squamata, Lacertidae. The record is from the annotation of a GenBank genome assembly.
CCGUGUGCUGCUCUGGUUCGCCAGAAGUGGCUCAGUCAUGCUGGCCACAUGACCCGGAAGCUGUAUGCUGGCUCCCUCGGCCAAUAAAGUGAGAUAAGUGCCGCAACCCCAGAGUCGGUCAGGAGUCCCUUUACCUUUACUGUGUUAUCAAGCUGAGAACCUGGACUCCUGACACAUAAGCUAGUUUCUGGGGGGAACUCAAAGAUACGCAGUACCAGCACCAUGUUUUCCAUAAGAAAAGCACCGAGUAAAUUCUCACCUGUAUUUUCAUAGAAUUGUAGACUUGGAAGGGAUCUCAAAGGUCAUCUGGUCCCUGCAAUUCAGGAAUCUUAUCCCACUCCACAUCAGAAUAACCUCAGGCCAACUGACACAAUAAUACCUGUAUGUUUUCGCCCAUAUGGCAAAUAAGAGGACGUCUGUAUGAGCAGAAGAGCAACAUAGAGGGAAAGAAUUCAUGGAAUUAUAGAACUGUAGGGUUGGAAGCUACCAAGAUGGGUUCUCGAGUCCAACCUCCCGCAAUUCUUUUGGGAAUUAUAGGGACAGAACUACCUAAAGUGUAUUGAAACUUAUUAACGUAUGCUACUAUGGUGGCUACUCGCCUCAAAAAGGAAAGAAGCAGGAGUCCCAGCAAAGGUUUGACAUUACAGGAGCCAGAAGCUAGUACAAAAAGAGUACAAUUAAUACAAGAAUUUGGUCAAGUAGCAGGUUUUAAAUUAAACAAGAUGAAAACCAAGGUAUUAGAGAAAAAUCUUACAGAGAUAGAGAAGGAGAGGUUUCAGAAAGAGACAGGAUUAACAAUUGUUAAUAAAGUGAAAUAUCUAGGGGUGAAUAUGACUGCCAAAAAUGUGAAUCUGUUUAAAGAUAAUUAUGAAAAAUGUUGGUCAGAGGUGAAGAAGGAUUUAGAAAUAUGGUCAAAAUUGAAGUUAUCAUUGUUGGGCCGAAUUGCAGCGAUAAAGAUGAAUGUAUUGCCUAGAAUGUUGUUUUUGUUUCAAACAUUACAAAUUGUGGAUAAAAUGGACUGUUUCAAGAGGUGGCAAAGAGAUAUUUCUAAAUUUAUCUGGCAGGGCAAAAAGCCCAGAAUAAAAUUUAAGAUACUAACAGACGCAAAGGAAAGAGGGGGAUUUGCCCUGCCAGAUCUUAAACUUUACUAUGAAUCAGCCGCUUUUUGUUGGCUGAAAGAUUGGCUACUUCUUGAAAAUGUGGACAUUUUAGAUUUAGAAGGUUUCGAUAAUGUGUUUGGGUGGCAUGCAUAUUUAUGGUAUGACAAAGUCAAAGCGCAUAAGGCCUUCAAGAAUCAUAUUGUCAGGAAAGCAUUAUUUAAUGUUUGGGUGAGAUAUAAGGAUUUGUUGGAAAGUAAAACACCAAGGUGGCUGUCACCAAUGGAGGCUAAGGCUUUGAAAAAAACAAAUAUGGAGACAAACUGGCCAAAAUACUGCGAAAUUUUAGAACAAGUCGGAGAUAAAUUAAAACUGCAGAGCUUUGACAAAUUAAGAACUAAAGUUCGAGAUUGGCUGCAUUAUUAUCAAAUAAGGGAGGUUUUUAACUUAGAUAAAAAGAUAGGUUUCCAGGAGGAAAAAUCUAAACUGGAAACGGAAUUGUUAGAACCUAAAACCAAAAAUCUGUCAAGAAUGUAUAAUCUGCUGUUGAAAUGGAAUACACAGGAUGAAAUGGUUAAAUCUGCUAUGAUUAAAUGGGCGCAAGAUGUGGGGCAUAAUAUUAUGUUUGCUGACUGGGAACGGUUAUGGACCACAGGUAUGAAAUUUACGGCCUGUAACGCCUUAAGAGAAAAUAUAAUGAAAAUGAUUUACAGGUGGUACUUAACCCCAGUCAAGCUAGCAAAAAUUUAUCAUCUGCCUGAUAAUAAAUGUUGGAAAUGUAAAGAAAAUGAAGGUACUUUUUUUCACCUUUGGUGGACGUGCCCAAAGAUCAAGGCCUUCUGGGAAAUGAUAUAUAAUGAACUAAAAAGGUAUUGAAAUAUACUUUCUUGAAGAAACCAGAGGCUUUCCUCUUGGGCAUGGUCGGCCAAUUGGUGCGAAGGGAAGACAGGAAUUUCUUUAUGUAUGCGACAGCAGCGGCAAGAAUACUUAUUGGGAAAUACUGGAAGACACAAGAAUUGCCUACCCGAGAAGAAUGGCAGAGAAAAGUGAUAGACUACAUGGAACUGGCUGAGAUGACCGGUAGAAUUCGAGAUCAAGAAGAAGGGUCGAUGGAAGAAGAUUGGAAAAAAUUUAAAAUAUAUCUUCAGAAAUACUGUAAUAUAAAAGAAUGUUAGAAAAGGUUGGAGAAGAAUAUUCGAUCGUAUUGGCAGACAGAGUAUAAUGGAAUAAGUAAAUAUGAAGUGUAAAAUAAAGACAGACGAGAAUUAAAUACUUUCGAAUGUUAAAAUAAGUAAAUGGAAAGAAGGUUAGAAGGAUUUGCUGGAGAUACGAUUCAAAUUAGAAUACAAAGCAGAGAAGUGAGAGGAAGUCACGGAAAUAAGUAAAUGGGAAAACGGUUCUAAUGGUUUAAAUUUGAUUUUUUGUUACUUUUGUAUUGUGAUUUUUUGUCUUUUGUAUUUUUCUUUGUACCGUGUGCUUUUUUGUAGGAUGUAUGUGAUUUGUUUUUCUUUUUUUUUCUUUUUUCUUUUUCUGUAAUCUUAAAAUUGGAAUAAAUAUUCUUUUUUUUUAAAAAAAAGGAGUCCCAGCAAAGGAAGAAUGGAUACAAAAACAUAUGGAAUACGGAGAAAUGGCAGGACUUACCAGAAGAAUAAGAAAUCAAGAUAACAACCUUUCAUUAAAGAAUGGAAACAGUUUAUUGAAUAUUUACAGAUAAAUUGCAAACAGAUAAAAACAUUGGCAGGAUUGUUGUAAUAACCUGCAAUUUCGUAAGCGUAUAUAUUUAAAGAAGAUGAAUAAAUGAGAAAGUCAAGUUAAUUUGGAUAUGCAGAAGAUAUUAAAAAAUAAAUUUAAGGAACUGCAGAAAGACGGG